Molecule: non-coding RNA, 723 nt
Organism: Chiloscyllium plagiosum (whitespotted bambooshark)
Lineage: Eukaryota; Metazoa; Chordata; Chondrichthyes; Orectolobiformes; Hemiscylliidae
Source: RefSeq, a predicted model, not a curated record
GUGGUCAUCAAUUUCCUGCGUGAGGGAGAUUUGUACACCCUCAUCAAUACCAUCUAACUUCUCACACAACCUGCCACUCGCGAAUAUGAAAAGACUUCAACUCUUAAAAAACAUUUUCUAGAUCAGUGGUGCUGGAAGAGCACAGCAAUUCAGGCUGCAUCCGAGGACAGGCAAAAUCGACGUUUCGGGCAAAAGCCCUUCAUCAGGAAUAAAAACCUCUUAAAAAACAUUGGCAACUCCACUGGGGAUGGGAGGAGCAAUGUCAGUUCCCCAUAUCCCACCUCAUCCAGGAAGUGAAACAGAUGAAAAGACUCCGACUCUUAAAAAACAUUGGCAACUCCACUGGGGAUUGGAGGAGCAAUGUCAGUUCCCCAUAUCCCACCUCAUCCAGGAAGUGAAACAGGUCAAGAGAAGUACAUCUAUUCAAACGAUAUAUUCAUGAAAUAGAAGCCAUCUCAGAUACUCCUGUUUCAACAAACUUGUUAACAAAUCGUUCACAGAAUCGUUAGAAUGAUUGCUCGGAGGAGAAUGUGAGCAAAUUUAUGAUUUCAACUGGAUUUAUUGAUCGGAAUUAAGCGCACAUGUCAAUUUCUUAGGAAUAAUAUUUAUGCAAUUAAAAGGUGAUAACAAAAUGAAGUUCGCCAAAUAAUGACACCUUGUAUCAUUCUCAAAGAUGCGUUAUAGUCCAACACAACCACCAGGUGGAGCUAACCCUAAGCACCU